Molecule: long non-coding RNA, 3389 nt
Filed under: Homo sapiens (human)
Lineage: Eukaryota; Metazoa; Chordata; Mammalia; Primates; Hominidae
Description: PREDICTED lncRNA (TCONS_00222952)
Source: RNAcentral
CAUCCAUGAGUUACACCCUUCCACAGAAGUAAAAUUUGCCUUGCUGAGGAAAUUAAAUUUAUGUUUGAGUGCUAUUUCUUUUGCAGCACUGAAAAUUUAUUUCUAACAGUAGCCUCUAAUGCAUUUCACAAAUAGAAGGUAAUAUUACCACUAUUGGAUUAGAGUUUUCCCCUCAUUUCCUCCAUUUUCCUUGUUUCUUCCAUUUUCUAUAAGGAUUUUUUAAAAACAGUCUUAAGCAAAGUCUUCAUAAGAUUUGGGAAGUCAGACCUCACAUCACUGGGAUACUGGUCAGAGGACAGCCCUUGGAUGUCUUCUAGAGUCUCCAUUCCCUCCUUCGCAUGAGUCCUUUCUGUGAUUAGGGUAUGGCAGCAACAACCAAGAUGGGGGCUCUGAAAGGAGGGCAAGGGUUCAGGGGAGGAGAGCAUGGCCCCACAUGGAAUGCUGCCCUUGGUCACCCCAGCCCUCUCUCAAUUUCCCUCACAACCCACCAUCAGGAGCCUCAGAGUAGGCCAGCGUUUGAAACAAGUUUUCAGUGCCGCAAAAGAAACAGCACUCAAACAGAAAUUUUUUUCUCAGCAAGGCAAAUUUACUUCUGCAGAAGGGUGCAGCUGGCGCCAGACAUGAUCACAAGAGCACACUGAGUAGGGUGGGGCAGGAGUUUUUAUCCCUAAUGCAGCAGCUUCUGUAGCUGUGUCCUUUCCCCAUUGGCUGGAGUUGGACUGCACAAUCUAAGCUGAGACCUGACUGGCUACUGUUUAAAAUUGAACAGGGCUAACUAGGCAGGAAGGGAGAGGCUGUCCCUUACAAUUUUAGGGUGCAGUAAAGGCAGAAAGGAUAGUUGCAGAGUAGGGAAUAGAUGUGAGUUAUAGAUUAGGACUGAUGGGAAGAUUGUUUACCAUAAUUAGAGGCAAGGGGGCAUAAAGAACGAGGAAGUUACUCUUUGAAAAUAGAGAACAAAGAACAAGGAAGCUGAACAAGCUGACUCUUCUUUGAAGAGGAACCCACCGUACCCAACACCAGAAAGACUAUAACCUUGCUUUGAAGGCUGGGAGUCCAAGAUCCAGGUGUCAGCAGUGUUGGUAUCUCCUGUGGCCACUCUCCUGGGCUUGCAGACGGCGUCUUCUCCCUGUGUCCCCACAUGACCACCCUUCUCCACCUUAGCAUCCCCGGUGUCUCUGUGUGUCCGGAUGUCCUUUUCUCAUGAGGACCAGAGAGAGAAGCAUCCCUGCUGAUGAGAAAGAACAGACACUCCCAGAGGACAAGGUCCACCUGUCAGGCAGCCACAGCCCAGCAUACUCUGGAGUCUGAGGUGGGGGUCAGUUGUGAAGAAAGGGAAGAAGGAAGAAAAAGGAUACGUUGUGCUCCGACCACAGGCCAAGGUCAGAAGACGGUAUUUACCAAGUCUCUUCCCAAAAUACUUGCAAAUGCACAUAAUCUCAAAGUGUUUUUGAGGGCUCUUCCGAUCUAAAAUUGGUCCUAGUGACAAGGGGUGUUUGGGGAAAUCAAAGGGCUGGCUUAACUAUGUAGACCUAGGUCUGGUCUUAUUUCUGGCCCAUACGAUCAUCAUGACCUUGGACAAAUGAAACUUCCUGGGCCUCAAGUUCCUUGUAUCAGAAAGGAUGGCAUUCAGCUGCGUACAACAGAAAACCAAAUCACAGUGGCUUAUCCAAGAAAAGUUCAAUUUUUCUCAAAACUACAGCGUCCUGGGCUGAUGCGGCAGCCCCAGGACGACCUCAGCAUCUCACUCCUCCUUUCUUUACUCGGCCCCAUCCUCAGGCUGUGACUUUCAUCCUCAGGUUUGUCAUCUUUUGGUGGUAAGAUGGUUGCUCUACCUCAAGCUCACAAAAAGAAAUGGGGGAAAGCAGGAAAGAAGAAAAUCUGCUUCCCCAGAGACUCUGAGGCUGCACUUGCACAUCUUAUGGAUCCAAACUGUGUCCCAUGGCUGCCCCUAGAUGCAAGGGGCCUGGGGAAAUGAGCGGAUUCAUCAGGUACACUGCAACCGUACAUGAAAGGAAAGUUCUGUCAAUAAAGAAGAGCGAAAUCUACAUUUGGUCAGGAAACAGCAUUGCCUGCAAUAUGCCUCAUAUGAAAUAAAGCCUUUCUUGCCCCCAUUCUGCUACUCGGUCAUUCUUGCACUCAACAAAUAGAUGUUGAGUGCCCACUCUCUCCAGGCCAUGUUCUAGGUGCUGCGGAUGCAAUCCUGAAUCUAUGAACACGAUUGGCAGAACAAUAAAUAUUGAUUGUCUUGGCCACUCACCAAAUAAAGUGCUCCUGGGAAGGCUGAGAUCUAAUGCAAAGCAGCAGCUUGACUUUCUCACUCCCUGGCAACAAUGCCAAGCAAGAGAAAGCGAUGGGUAAGGCCUGGCUCAAGAGUCUCACUGCAACCUGCACUGUAGAUUCUACCUGCUAAUUUCCUCAGCCUUCUCUGGUUUUGGGCUUCAGAAUGCCCUAACUCUGGGCCCGGCGCGGUGGCUCACGCCUGUAAACCCAUCACUUUGGGAGGCCAAGGCGGGUGGAUCACAAGAUCAAGACCAUCCUGGCCAACAUGGUGAAACCCUGUCUCUACUGAAAAUACAAAAAUUAGCUGGGCAUGGUGGCUUGUGCUUGUAAUCCAGCUACUUGGAAGGCUGAGGCUGGAGGAUCGCUUGAACCCAGAAGGCAGAGGUUGCAGUGAGCUGAGAUCACACCACUGCACUCCAGCCUGGCAACAGAGUGAGACUCUGUCUCAAAAAAAAAAAAAAAAAAAAAAAGAAUGCCCUAAGUCUACUCUGGACCAUGAGCAAGGAUAAUCUGUCUUAGAGGAGAGAAGGUGAGGUUAUGAUUCCAGAGCAUUUGGUGACCCAGGAAGUAGACCUGCCUCCUCCUAUCUGUCCACAGAGCAGUCCUAGGGGCAAUAGGCCAUGAGAAGAUCAUGCCAGGCAGUCCAUUUCUAUAUUACCAUGUAAACAAAAACUCAGCUGUGAACCCUGGAACGUUCGUAUUCUGCAGCUGCCAGUGUAAACUGGUACAGGCCUCUUGAAGAACAGUGGGGAAAGGCACUCUGAAAGCAUCCACGCCUCCAUACCUGCUGAUCCAGGGCUCUGAUUUUCCUUCUGGGAACCAAGCCUAGGAGAAUGAUUCAAGCUGCAGAAAACCUUUCUCCACUAAGAUGUUUGCUGUGGCAUUCAGUAUAAUAGCACACCAGAGAAACAAUCUAAAGAUUCAUCAGUAGGAGAAUAUCUAAGUAAAUUAUGGUACAUACACUCAAUAAAAUGUUAUAUGACUACUAAUUAUGGUGGUUACAAAGACUAUCUCUUUAAGAAAAAUGCUUCUGUGAAUGGUUAAGUGAAAAUUGCAAGAUACGGGCUGGGUGCAGUGGCUCACACCGGGUGCAGAGUCUCACUCUGUUG